Pan troglodytes (chimpanzee) is the source of this 3703-nucleotide RNA transcript. It is a transcript of the gene named ubiquitin like with PHD and ring finger domains 2, with no coding region annotated. Lineage: Eukaryota; Metazoa; Chordata; Mammalia; Primates; Hominidae. The transcript has 16 exons. The record is from RefSeq and is a predicted model, not a curated record.
CUCUUUAAGGCGGAGCCCGGCGUGGAUCUCGCGAGAUCCGGCUUGGCGCCGUGACCUCCAUGUGGGAGCUCCAGCUCUAUAAGUAAACACUCUGCGCGGCGCAGACAUGGCCUCUUCCUAUCUUUGAGGCGGUGUCUGCGGCAGCGCCUCAGAGUGGUUCAGGUCGUCUCUCCUCAAGUCGGCUAGUCGGGCGCGCGGGCUGAGAGUCGUCGCCGCCUGUCGGGCCCGGCGUCCGGUCGGUCCAGUGGGCGCGCUCGCCCGCCUGCCGCUGAGGGCCCGAGCCGCAGGGAAAGCGGCGCGGGCCGGGCGGGGCGCGGCGCCCAGAGCUCAGGGGGAGACAAAGGGGACCGGUUCCUCUCUAGGCGCCAAGAUGUGGAUACAGGUUCGCACCAUUGAUGGCUCCAAGACGUGCACCAUUGAGGACGUGUCUCGCAAAGCCACGAUUGAGGAGCUGCGCGAGCGGGUGUGGGCGCUGUUCGACGUGCGGCCCGAAUGCCAGCGCCUCUUCUACCGGGGCAAGCAGUUGGAAAAUGGAUAUACCUUAUUUGAUUAUGAUGUUGGACUGAAUGAUAUAAUUCAGCUGCUAGUUCGCCCAGACCCUGAUCAUCUUCCUGGCACAUCUACACAGAUUGAGGCUAAACCCUGUUCUAAUAGUCCACCUAAAGUAAAGAAAGCUCCGAGGGUAGGACCUUCCAAUCAGCCAUCUACAUCAGCUCGUGCCCGUCUUAUUGAUCCUGGCUUUGGAAUAUAUAAGGUAAAUGAAUUGGUGGAUGCCAGAGAUGUCGGCCUUGGUGCUUGGUUUGAAGCACACAUACAUAGUGUUACUAGAGCUUCUGAUGGACAGUCACGUGGCAAAACUCCACUGAAGAAUGGCAGUUCUUGUAAAAGGACUAAUGGAAAUAUAAAGCAUAAAUCCAAAGAGAACACAAAUAAAUUGGACAGUGUACCCUCUACGUCUAAUUCAGACUGUGUUGCUGCUGAUGAAGACGUUAUUUACCAUAUCCAGUAUGAUGAAUACCCAGAAAGCGGUACUCUAGAAAUGAAUGUCAAGGAUCUUAGACCACGAGCUAGAACCAUUUUGAAAUGGAAUGAACUAAAUGUUGGUGAUGUGGUAAUGGUUAAUUAUAAUGUAGAAAGUCCUGGACAAAGAGGAUUCUGGUUUGAUGCAGAAAUUACCACAUUGAAGACAAUCUCAAGGACCAAAAAAGAACUUCGUGUGAAAAUUUUCCUGGGGGGUUCUGAAGGAACAUUAAAUGACUGCAAGAUAAUAUCUGUAGAUGAAAUCUUCAAGAUUGAGAGACCUGGAGCCCAUCCUCUUUCAUUUGCAGAUGGAAAGUUUUUAAGGCGAAAUGACCCUGAAUGUGACCUGUGUGGUGGAGACCCAGAAAAGAAAUGUCAUUCUUGCUCCUGUCGUGUAUGUGGUGGGAAACAUGAACCCAACAUGCAGCUUCUAUGUGAUGAAUGUAAUGUGGCUUAUCAUAUUUACUGUCUGAAUCCACCUUUGGAUAAAGUCCCAGAAGAGGAAUACUGGUAUUGUCCUUCUUGUAAAACUGAUUCCAAUGAAGUUGUAAAGGCUGGUGAAAGACUCAAGAUGAGUAAAAAGAAAGCAAAGAUGCCAUCAGCUAGUACUGAAAGCCGAAGAGACUGGGGCAGGGGAAUGGCUUGUGUUGGUCGUACGAGAGAAUGUACUAUUGUCCCUUCUAAUCAUUAUGGACCCAUUCCUGGUAUUCCUGUUGGAUCAACUUGGAGAUUUAGAGUUCAGGUGAGCGAAGCAGGUGUUCACAGACCCCAUGUUGGUGGAAUUCAUGGUCGAAGUAAUGAUGGGGCUUAUUCUCUUGUACUGGCUGGUGGAUUUGCGGAUGAAGUCGACCGAGGUGAUGAGUUCACAUACACUGGAAGCGGUGGUAAAAAUCUUGCUGGUAACAAAAGAAUUGGCGCACCUUCAGCUGAUCAAACAUUAACAAACAUGAACAGGGCAUUGGCCCUAAACUGUGAUGCUCCAUUGGAUGAUAAAAUUGGAGCAGAGUCUCGGAAUUGGAGAGCUGGUAAGCCAGUCAGAGUGAUACGCAGUUUUAAAGGGAGGAAGAUCAGCAAAUAUGCUCCUGAAGAAGGCAACAGAUAUGAUGGCAUUUAUAAGGUGGUGAAAUACUGGCCAGAGAUUUCAUCAAGCCAUGGAUUCUUGGUUUGGCGCUAUCUUUUAAGAAGAGAUGAUGUUGAACCUGCUCCUUGGACCUCUGAAGGAAUAGAACGGUCAAGGAGAUUAUGUCUACGUUUACAGUAUCCAGCAGGUUACCCUUCAGACAAAGAAGGGAAGAAGCCUAAAGGACAGUCAAAGAAGCAGCCCAGUGGAACCACAAAAAGGCCAAUUUCAGAUGUUCUGCUUAGAACCACUUGUAAGUCUGCUGAUACAUUUUUAAAAUAAAUCUAGAUGACUGUCCAAGUGCCUCCAAAGUGUACAAAGCAUCAGAUUCAGCAGAAGCAAUUGAGGCUUUUCAACUAACUCCUCAACAGCAGCAUCUCAUCAGAGAAGAUUGUCAAAACCAGAAGCUGUGGGAUGAAGUGCUUGCACAUCUUGUGGAAGGACCAAAUUUUCUGAAAAAAUUGGAACAAUCUUUUAUGUGCGUUUGCUGUCAGGAGCUAGUUUACCAGCCUGUGACAACUGAGUGCUUCCACAAUGUCUGUAAAGAUUGCCUACAGCGCUCUUUUAAGGCACAGGUUUUCUCCUGCCCUGCUUGCCGGCAUGAUCUUGGCCAGAAUUACAUCAUGAUUCCCAAUGAGAUUCUGCAGACUCUACUUGACCUUUUCUUCCCUGGCUACAGCAAAGGACGAUGAUCUGCCUGCUUUCACUGUGUUGUUCAUGGUGGCUUUUUGGACAAUAAAGAAUCUAAAAUGGGUGGGGAGGGUGGAAGAAAUGGUGGACUGUAUCUCUCACGUUCUGAAGCAGCUAAUCCUCUUUCCCACAUAGCCAUCAUCUUGUGUGUGUAGUAAGAGGCCCAUUUCUCAACUGUCUUUUAAAUAUCUAAAGGUAGUUCCUGUAACAACUAGUUUUAAUGAGUAAAAAGUCAAAGCCUCAGCUCUAGUUGAUAUCCAAGUUAUGAUUUAUUUUGCAACUACCUCAGGACAGAAAAGAUUUAUGGGGAUUUUAAAAAUCAUUGAAUAACUAGUUAAAUGAAAUUUUAGCUACACACUGCCUCCCAAAUAUUAGUUGUGCCUGGUUCUUGUAAUUUGAUUUUACAGAAAAGGAAAUGACACUUGAGAUCCUUGGAAUGAACACAGCUUCUAAAGUGUGCAUAUACUUUUUUAACGUCUCUUCUUCCAUUACAAUGUGUGUUUGCAAGGACAGGUUCAUUUUUUUUAGCCCACUUUGUGAACUCCAUUGUGCUUUUUUCUGGUGUUUUAUGCAAGUUGACUACUAAUGACUAAUGAGAACAAUAAUGAAUGCAUUGUUGCUGCAUUAGUGUAAUGUGGUGUGGUUUUGCACUUAAAAGAGGUAUUCAUAUGCUCUAGUUGUAAAUGUUCAUGAAAAUCCACUUCUGUACUAGUCGAACUGCUUUUAGUGUCUCACCAGUGGUUUUACAUCUGCAGAGUUUUGAGGGCUGUGCUGACCUUUGAGAGGAUUUGAAAUUGCUUCAUAUUGUGAUCCUAAAUUUUAUAUUCACUAUAUUCCCUAAAGUAUACCUUAAUAAAUAUUUUAUGAUCAGAA